RNAcentral lists this ribosomal RNA (774 nucleotides) under uncultured Neocallimastigales. Its description in RNAcentral is "partial large subunit ribosomal RNA". It matches the Rfam family "Eukaryotic large subunit ribosomal RNA", at positions 22 to 643 of the family's 3401-position model. The record is from RNAcentral. Lineage: Eukaryota; Fungi; Neocallimastigomycota; Neocallimastigomycetes; Neocallimastigales.
UAGAUGCGAGAGUAGAGCAUAUCAAUAAGCGGAGGAAAAGAGACUAACAAGGAUUCCCCUAGUAACGGCGAGUGAAGCGGGAAGAGCUCAAAUUUGAAAUCUUCAAGGUUUGACCUUGACGAAUUGUAGUUUAAAGAAGUGUUUUCGGUUAGAGGAGUAGUAAAAGUUCUUUGGAAUAGGACAUCAUAGAGGGUGAGAAUCCCGUAUUUGACUAUUCUUUCUAGCUUUGUGAUACACUUUCAAAGAGUCGGAUUGUUUGGGAAUGCAGUCCAAAAUGGGUGGUAAAUUUCAUCUAAAGCUAAAUAUUGGCGAGAGACCGAUAGCGAACAAGUACCGUGAGGGAAAGAUGAAAAGAACUUUGAAAAGAGAGUUAAACAGCUACGUGAAAUUGUCAAAAGGGAAGCGUUUGACACCAGUGUUGUUUUUCCGAAAAUCAAUUAAAAAUUGAUUCAUGCCAGGUUGUAUUGACCUUAUCAGCUUGCAAUUUGGUUUUGGGUCUCUUUUUGAUGCACUUUUCGGUUAACAAGUCAACAUCAAUUUCCUUUGCUGUAAAAAGGUAAGAGGAAGGUGGCUUCAAUUUCGGUUGAAGUGUUUAUAGCCUUUUAUCUCUGCAGUCGGGGAGAUUGAGGUCUGCAGCGUAGAUCCUUCGGGGCUAGAUACAUUUAUGCUAAGUUAUAGCUUGUCAUAGACAACUUGUUGACUAUGUUCAGUCAUGUAGCUUACUCGUAGUGCUAUUUUACCUACGCUUAGGAUGUUGACACACGCGCGUGCUCG